AGAGAGGGAGAGAGGAGAUUGAUUCAUCCAACUCUUGAUUUGUAGUGAUUUCUACUUCCAGUUAGAGCCAUAGAGCAUUUCUACUCUUCAGCUGUGGCAAUAGGGAAGAAAUGGCGAAUGGAAGUCAGGUGUAGAAUGUAAAUUACUUUCUAAAACAGACAUACACACACACGAUCAAUGUUAGAGCCAAAUUUGGGGGACCUCAAAAUUUGGAAUCUGUUGGAGUACAUAUUUUUCACUAUUGAUGCAUGCUAUAUCAUUCUGUCAACAAAUAUUUUAAAAGCACCAUGUAAGCAAGAGGAACUGAUGCAGAGUGGUUUCAGCUGACUGAGAGCCAGACUGUUCCACCAAACCCGGGCUUCUCAGCCACAUCAAGCAACCUUGGGAAAACACUGUGGUCUGCAAAGGCAACAUUCCCUCACUGGCAAAAUGAAGAUAGAAACACUGCCUAAAGUGAACUAAAUGAAAGAACCUGUUUUGUGUGCAUGGUAAGUGCUCAAUAAAUAUUCCUCAUUAGCGUGAUCUUGUACCAGGCAAUAACCUUAACCAGACUCUUGUUACUACAUGAAAAUUCUUGUGUUCAUCUAUGGUAGACUCAGAUUUGUAUUCUUCACAGUGGCCCUUGGAAAUGUUUCAGCCAAUUUAUGUUACCAUUCUUGUGAGACCUUACCAUUCCAGAUGGUGAGAUCUUGGAGGGCCGGGAUUACAUCUUAUUUAUUCUUGGAUUUCCCAGAUGGGCAGAUAGAUUCUAUACACUGAAAACAUUUACUUAGUAAAUGUGGGAAGUUCAACAAGUAUUUAUUGAGUGCAUUGUCAUUAUUUAACAUUUAGUUUCAUUGAAUAGGAAAGACAUACAUCAAAUGAUAAAAUAAUACAAAUGGGAAGACGAUGAAGCCAAAGCCAUGUACAGAAAAUAAAGGCUGUGGUCAUUUCUGUAUUCCUUUUUCUGUUACUUAUAACAGCAUACUUGAAACUGGGUAAUUUAUAAAGACACAGAAUAUAUUUCUUACUGUUACAGAGGCUGAGAAGUCCAAGGUCAAGGGACCAUAUCUAGUGAGGGUCUUUUUGCUGAGGACUCUACAGAGUCCUGAGAUGAGGUGGUGCAGGGCCUCACACAAUGAGAGGGCUGAGUGUGCUAGCUCAGGUCUCUCCUCUUUUUAUGUAGCCACCACUCCCACUCUCAUGAUGACCCAUUAACCCACAAAUGGAUUAACAUAUUCAUGAGGGGACGACCCUCAUGACCCAAUCACCUCUUAAAAGCUGCACUGCUCAAAGUUUAUGCAAAUAUAAGAGUUUUUCACUAAAAAGGAGAGGUCAUUAAAGAUGGGUGGAGUGUGGGUGUUGUCACCAGUGUCCAGGAGGUAAGGGACAAUAUUUUGGAAAGGACAAUCAAAAUCCUUUUUUAUUCACAUUUCCUUUGCUCUUCACAAAAGAUCCAGAGAGACAUUAAAGUAUGUUUUUUUUUAAGGGGUCAACUUUUUCUUCUUUGUUCCCCGCCCCCUUUAUUUAGUAGAUCAGAUUUAUGGCUGUGUCUCUUCUUAAAAGUUCCAUCUUGUUUUAUGGCAGUUUUCCCAUCAUCCCUCCUCGCAGUAGAUGUGAAGCUGUUAUUUAAAGACUUAUUCCUAGAGGUAUCAAAAUGUUAUAGAUAGCAGAAAACAUUGGAAAAGGAUGAUAUGGAAUCAAAUUUGGGGAUUGAAAUGUAUCAGAGAAGGGCAAUUAACAUGAAAAGCUGGCUCUCUGGGGCUCAACUGCCUGAACUUAAUCUUGAUUUCACUAUUUAUCAGCUGCAUGAUCUUAGGGCAAAUGAUUUACCAAGCUGUGCCUCAAUUUCCUCAUCUAUAAAACAAUAAUAAUAAUAUUACCUAGCGUUGCUGAGUUUUGUGAGGAUGUAAAUGAGCUAAUAAAUGUAAAGUACCUUGAAAAGUGACUGGAGAAUGAGAAAUGCUUAUUAAAAGUUAGCUAUUAUUAUUUUUCUUGUAAUUAUUAUUUAUAUAGAGUGCUAUACUUCUUUCAUAAAAAUAUAAUUAAUUCCUCAGGAAAUUAAAACACUGAGUUUGAGUCAUGUGAGUGAGUAAUAAACAUGGGAAAAAACUAAGUCUUCUGAUUCCCAGUUUCAUCUGCUUCCCACCCACCGUACCACGAUGGGAUAGAAGAAAAAGUCAGAAACUUACUGAAGAAAGGAGGCAUACAGGAUAUGUACAGUUUGCUCUGUUGAAAAUCGUGAUUGUUUUAGUCCCCAGGUUAGGUCCGAUCAACAGAUGGUUCAAUUCAACACAGUAGAAAGAAGUUGUGUUUUGUUUUCUCUUUUCAUUGUUCUCUAUAUGCUAAGCAAAUCCUAAUGUCUCCGGAAGUUUGCAUUGCCUUUAAGGGAUCUUCAUUUUCUUUCCACCUCUUGGAGAUUGUUGUUUCUUUCCCAACCUUAGUACUUGAAUUGAAGAGACACCAUUGUUUGCAAUAGCGAUUUAUUUGAUAUUUUGCCCUUAAUUCUAGUCUUGAACAAGUUUUUGUUUGCUGUGUUUGGUACGCUCAUGUGUUGAUCCUGCAUCUUUCCAUUGAACAUCAACAAGGAAACCUUUCUGUGCUGAAUAUCUAUCUGCAAGUAGAAAGAUCCCCAAGAUCUUACUUUAAAUGAAAGCUGUGAGAAACAUGACAUAUCCUGAGUUCUGUCCAGAUUUACUUUGAAGAUGUAUGAAGAAUGCAGGGAUAGACACCAUCACUCACGCCUUGUUAUGUUUUAAGCUCCCCUCUUUGGCAUAUUUAAGUUGGGGAAGAGGUGAUUAUCCUGGAUCAGAACGUUUGUCAAGGGUGUGUUCUUGAUUUGUUCUGCGAAACAAGCUUUUAGCAAGGGAAGAGUGUGUCAGUAUGAAGAACUUAAGAGAGGUGCGCCCUUGAGCCUCUGGUGAACUCUGUUCAGUGAAGUGAACAGAUGGGAAACCCUGUUACUCUUUCAAGUCAAGGUCUUUCCACUCUGACUAAAUGGUCUCUCACCACUAGAGCAAGGAGUCAAAACUCUUACACUCUGAAGAGCUUCAGGCUUUUUUCUUGAUCCUUAAGGUCCAGCUUUAGUGACUGGAAAUAUAUGGCUUUUCAAUACUUUCAAAAAAGUGUUCUGAAAGGGAAAUUAAACUCUGAAAUCCAUAUUGUUUUGCAAUUUUUACUCUUCUACAAGAAUAUUACCUGUGUAGCUAGCUGGAGCCUAUAUUUUAGAAAAUAGGCGAAAGAAGAUUGGAGGGGCUUAAUGGACCCAGAAAGGUUACCUGGGUCCUGAAAUUUCUCCCCCUUCAGCCCUAAAGCUCCUUUUAUCUUAAAUUGCAUGAAGUUCCGCUAAUAAGCUUUUCACUAAGUUGUGUGAGUGUCUUUCCUAAAAACUCAGUGGAUCUCCGAUAGGGACGUUAAAGAAGAAUGUUCAGAGUUCACACACCUUAGUGUGCCCUGGUUUCAUUAGAUGGCUUCCUUCACCUAUAGCCAGGGCACCAAAUAACAGGAGAAGAGUGGAUAAUUUUAUAGCAAGGACCAGUUAGAAAGGAAUGAUCCUACGGGAAGCACUGGCGUUAAAGUACUUUUACCUAUUAAGUAGGGCAUAGCUAUGACAAAACAAAGCUAAACAUUUCUAAAGAAGAAGACAGAGCAGAGGGUGAGAGGUGGAGCUUAGGUGUGAGUGGGAGGGGGUAGGGAGUAAGUAAAAAUAAACGAAUUUCUUUCUAAUACCCACCCACUCAUUUUCCUCUAAUAUCUACCCACUCAUUUUCCAAGUGUGGUUGACUUUAAAAUUGUAUCUCUAGAGGAACUGUGAUCCUAUGUGUUGCUAGUGCAACAGUCUACUUCCAACAGCUCAGAACAUUGUCUUGUUUGCAGCAGGCGUUAACAGACAAAAGAUUGGGGUAGAUGGUAUUUUUAAUGGAAGCUACAGCCUUAUUAGAUUUUUCAAAAGUCUACUUAGACUUGAAUCUUUUUUCAAAAAUCUAUUCUAAUGAAAUAAUCUGCAUUUUAAAAUUCAACCAACACAGAUACUGAAGGCAAAUAUAAAAUGUGUAUAUUAAUAUAAAUACAUGAGAUUAUCUUAAAAUUAGUAUUACAAAGCUAUAAAAAGUUUAAAGUAGCAUAAUACUAAGUUAUGUUUGGGAAAGUCAUCUUAUAGUCUCUUUUGAGGCUCAUAAAAAUUAAUUAUCCUUAGUCAUAAUUUUUUUUCCUAAUUUAAUUUCUCCAAGUCGUUGAAAAUGUAGUUUUAAAAUAAGGUCAAGUCAAAAAUAUUAUUCGGUAAUACGUACUAGAUAACAACUGAUGUAUACCCAGAGAGAGCUGAUAGCCCAAAUGUGAAAGAGUGGAGUUUCUUGAACGUAUAUAAGAAUUACCUGGGACAGUUUUUUAAAAGGAGGUUCUGACUUAGAUCUGGGAUGAAAUCUAAGAUUCUUUAUUUCUAGUAAGCUCCCAGGUGAUGUAGAUGCUGCUGGUCAGACGACCAGCGAGGGGACGGAGACUCAUGCAUUAGUGAUUAUCAGGUAAACAAGGAGCACCUUAAUCUCUUCACCCCAUCACCUCUAUGUUUACCAACCAGUAGAGACCUCUUUAAGUAUAUAGUAAAUUCUGUGUAAUAUGAAGACUCUGAGAAACAUACAUUGUUCAAAGGCACCCAAGUAAGUCCUUGGAAACCAGGUGAUGUUGUAAGCAUUUGAAAGUCUGAUAGCUCAGCAGCCAUGCCUGGGGUGCCCUAGCCUGGAUUACCUUUUGAUGAUAGGGGAAGUUAGUUUAAUUGUUAAUGGAAUUGCCUUCCCCGAUCUGCACCCUUACAUUAAUAUUUGUUUUGAAAAGCACUAUAUCAUUAUAAGUACACUUUAUUGUGUGUAAUUUCCACCUCCUCUUCCUCCUCCUCUUUUUAUGUUUUUGCAACAGCUGUGUGCAGUAAAUUAUCAUUUAUUAUUAUUACUAAUUGCAAUUUACAAAGGAGGAGUUGAGGCUUAGAGAAAGAUCUGUGAGUGCCAGAUCACAUAUCACUGGAGAAGUUCCGGAGCUAAGCCUAGUUCUAAUGGGCUCUGGUAUUCUUCACACACGAAACAAUCCUUCCACCAUUCCUUUCACUGCCAAUUAUGGCUACGUAAAAAGAAAUAGGAAAAAACAGUAUGCACACAUUCCUUUCUUUUUUGUGACUUUUUUGUUUAAAUCAUGAUGUGUCUCUGUGACCGAACCAAGAGGUUUGAUUUGCUCUCCGAAAGGCACUACUUCCAUAUUCGACCAGCAGGGGGCACUAUGGCAUAGGAAUUCAGCUUUGCUUGCUGAUUACGGUUGCAAGGGCUGUUUCCCACCCCCACAUUCUAUGCAGUUUUUUUUAAUUGUUUUCACUAGGUCCUUACUUACAUUUAUUAGAUUGGCAGAUGAUAUUCAUCAUUGGAAACAGUUCACCAUACUUUACAUUUAAGCAUAGGUUUUUACCUUUUUUUUAAUGUAAAAAAAGUUGUGGAAAAAAAUUAUACCUGAUGUAGCAAAUAAGUCUACCUUAAAAACCAAAAAAUGGUUUCUCUUGUAUCCAUGAUUUUAGAAUUAAAAGAUGUAUUAAAUUAGUGGCAAAAAGACACGAAGGCUCUGUUACUUUGAUCCCUUGGUACCUAGAGCAAAUGUUUGUCACACUUACUUUUCUGCUACAGAUUAAUUCUAUUUUCCAAACACAGGAAUAGAUAAAAGAAGACAAGCUAUGCUAGCCUGAGUUCCUCUGCAUUCUUAUUUUCCACAGAUUCCAUCAGAAUAAAAGGCUGCUGUUCUAGGCAGGUCCAGGUUGAGCCGCUUCUUGCAUCAAACCUUCAGUUCACUCUCCUGGGACUUUUCUGUUCCUUUCCAGGUCAAUAGGGGAAUAGAACCCACCUCCCUAAGAGUGAAAUAAUCUGAACUAGGGCUUCCAGGAAGUGAAAAGUCUGGCUGGUUGGCAUUAUUAUUUCCAGCUUUACAUAUAGCAAGAUCUUGCAAUAUCAGGAAGGGCUGUUAGGAAAAUCAACGUGAUUGUGUUUUAAGUUGCUUCUAAAUGAGGUGGUUUGUUUUAUUUUUUUUUUUAUUGUAAACAACAAAAUAAAAUAAAAUUCCAACCAUAGGCUCUUCUGGGAACUUGCCUACCCCAAAAUGGUCUCAAUAUGGAAUAUUGCUCCAUCCUUUCCUAUGCCUUGCCUUUGCCUUUUGUUUGCCGUUAGCUAUUAAUAUAACCAAUUAAAGACAUCUCACAUAGGAUUCCAGCUGACUUCAUCUAGUAAAGUUCUCUGUCUCCCCUUGGGGUACCCCUAGUCAUACUGUGGAAGGGAGUCAAAUCUAGAAGGAAUCUUAGAAAUGUUUGUUUUAUGGGCCGCUAAAGUCCUUUCCCUCCCCUAUCUCACCAGUGAAGAAGCCAGGUCCCCAAUUAUCACGCCAUUUGCCAAAGGACACAUUUCUACUUUCAGGGAGAGACUGGAACAUCUCCGACUACAGUUACUGUUACUCUUGGGCAGUCAUUUUUCAAACCAUUAUCAAUAUUGGUAUUGAUUCAGACACAUACAUUAGGAAUAAUUUUACUAGCAGGCCUUCCUAUCUUAAGGUGUAGACUUAAAAAUAUUCCCAUUUUAGCAGCAAAAAACUCAUUAAUGUAGGCAUCUUCCCAAAUUGAGUGUGAAUGAGGAACCUGCAGUCUAAACAAAAUGCUUGGUAUCAAAUAUGAGCAUGUUGUGAUAACAUGACCAAAAAUAUCUUUAAAAAAUCAUGGAAGAAAAUUUAGAUUUUAGAUGUCACAUUGGUUAACCCACUUUUCUGCGUAUCAGAAGAGGUCCACAGUAUUUCAUUAUUAGAGCAGUCACUUCUCAGUGUAGUUCACAGGCAUCGCUGCUCUGGAAUUUUGCGUUAAGGUGAUCACACAGCGCUAUGACAUGAACAGAGACGUCUUGCAGAGCAUCAACCCACCUGUAUGAAAUAGCACCACGAAAUGCCGUUGGUUAAUCAAUUGCAGACCUAUCAUCUUUAUAUUUCUUAAACAUAUUCAUAUCUUCAGUUUCUACCAAGUCUUAUAAAAACAUAUACUUCCUGAAUGCAAAACAUUCCUCUUUGUUUGCCCAAAACACGCUUUUUUUUUUUUUUUUUCAGUUUCAGCGUUCAGAAUUCAGUGUUCAGAAUUCUAGCAGAUACUUUCUUGAUAAGUUUACAGAUUUUCAUCAGAACCUUACUUGUCUACACUGACCUGGCUGUUAGUGUAUUCCAAUUUCAUUAGGCCAGUGGACCCUUUUUAAUGUCCUUAUUUAGGGAAUGAUUACUUUUUUGAACCAGCUGGAUUAUAAGUAAAUCCUGUCCAAAGGCAGUGUCCAUUAGUCUAAUGACCACAUGCCUUGCAAGUGGAAACGUUUUUUGGACUUCUCUAUAAUGGGAAGAUGACUAUAUGUAUGGUGAUUAGCAGAAGCUCCUUCCCAGUUUUAUCUGCUAUGAUAAAUUAUUUACAUUUUCACAAAGAUGCAUAUGUCUGAGGUUUCAUGUGUAUCCUACACAUAUCUAUGUUAUCCACAAUACUGUUUUUUUUUCCAUUGCCUGACAUAAUAAUCUUCACUCUAUUUUUAGUUUUCUCUUUUUUUAUUUGAAUGCGAUUUCAGUGCUUGAAUAACAUUGGAUUCAAAUAGCAUACCCUUUUUUGUUACCUGACUUUAUCAGACGUACUUUCUCAAAAGAAAAUAAUGUGAAUACUAAGAUAAUGAGCAUGGUAGCCAUUAAGCUUUAGUAGAGGGAGAAAUUUUAAAAUUCCUUUAUGUUUGAAUCUAUGAAAAGGGUGGCCUUAGUGGAAAUGCAAAAUAAUGCAGAUUUGCUAAACAGUUCUACAUGUAAUGGGAGUUAUUGUGGAAACUCAGCCAAUAAAUCAAUCGCACUUAAGAGGGGAAAACAGCCUAAGAAUCCAUGUUCCUGAAAAAUGUCAGAGCCUCUGAAACUUGUGUGUGUGAAAAGCAAUGUUUUAACUAAAUAUGAUAAUGAUUUUUUCAACAUCCUUCCUUUCUAAUGUGAAAUAACUAAUAAUGUACUCACAUUGUCUGUAAGACUGAGGCUUGUUCUGAGUGUACCAAAGCUGUCUUUUAAGAACAUUGCAAGGUUUUGUUUUGCAAUUUUACUGUAUUUACUGGUCAAUUAAUUGCAAUUAGAAUGGGACUUCUUUAUAUAACCUUUCAUACAGAAAUGAUUCUGUUACUAUAAUGGAAAAAGAGUCAUUAACGCCAGUAAAAGAGAGAAUGAAGUUUUUAAAGAUAAAGAAUAAAUCUCUUACACUUCCACCAUUCUAAACAGAACAGAUCUCCUUUGAGCCUAUCCUUUUUACUGACACUAGCCAGAAAGCAACUGUGGAUGAAGGGCUUUCUAGAUAAAUUCUUAAAUCAAAAAGUGUUGGGAAACUCAGAUUUACAAAAGAGAGAAACAUUAGCAGCUUGUGUCCCGGUCAAGACAAGGCCAGUGAACUCCUUGAUACACUUCAUGCCCUCAUCUAUAACAUGGCUUAAUAAUAGUACCUACUGGCUGCUGUUAGUAUUGAAGGAGCCAAUGUAUGCAAGCCAAUCACUUAACAAAUGUCCGUUGUUCUGUUUGUCAUUUUUUGCUUAUACUUCCUGACAACAACCAGAAACCUUAGAAUAGCGAACUCUUCACUUUAGGGAAGGCUAAGUCAGCGUUAGGUGUUUCCAUCUUAAAGCGCACGAGCCAGACUGGGCAGAGCAGCAGCAUCACCGAUUGCCACUCUCAUAACUGUCUGGCUAAGAUUCCCAUGUCGUUUGUGGUGUUAACUACAAAAUGCAUCGACCAAAUUAUCCCCACGGUUUCUUCACAGGGUCAGAAUGACACAGAAAGUAGAGUAGGCCCAGUGAUCUGAUACCACAGAGCCAGAACUCUCAGCAGAAUACACAGUAGGGUCCUUGCAUAGGGUCUCCUGAAGACCUGAGACCAUUUUUCAGGAGAGAGUUAGGAGUAGAUCCUGCUGCUUCUUAAAAAGAAUCUAGGAUAGUAGAUUCCACUUCUUCCCUUCUCCUGUCCAGGUUUCACGUGAGCUUGCAAGAACCUAUCAACCCUCAACAACUUUGACCUUAAGUCCAAAUCUUAAAGAGAUGAAAAUUCUCCUCUUCUAUGAAAAAUUGUUGAGAAAGCUGCUCUGGAAGAUGUAAGAAAAUAAUUGAUAGUUUUUUUUCCUGUUUUACUUGAGAAAUUCUCUUACAUUUCUGAAUCGGAAUGCUUAGUCCUCCAGAAUGUUUGAGUGCCAUGUUCAGUAUUUUGGCUCUUCACCUGAGAGUGUAUGAGUCCCUUUAUGAUUAUACUUUUAUACUUACUAUCUUGCCUUGUGAUGCCUCACGCACACACUAGGUUAGAAAGCACUUGAGCAAAGCAGGCAUAGCGUUGUUAACAGCAUACAAGCUCUCAUUUUUUUACAAUUCCUCAUAACGCAUUCCGAAAACAAAGCAAAAAAACCCAAAAGUCUUGAUAA
Molecule: long non-coding RNA, 9445 nt
Organism: Sapajus apella (tufted capuchin)
Lineage: Eukaryota; Metazoa; Chordata; Mammalia; Primates; Cebidae
Exons: 2
Source: RefSeq, a predicted model, not a curated record